This 556-nucleotide ribosomal RNA is filed under the name bacterium 87-L049658-122-015-G11. RNAcentral's name for it is "bacterial SSU rRNA". It matches the Rfam family "Bacterial small subunit ribosomal RNA", at positions 57 to 625 of the family's 1533-position model. The record is from RNAcentral.
GCAGUCGAACGAUGAUGCCCAGCUUGCUGGGCGGAUUAGUGGCGAACGGGUGAGUAAUACGUGAGUAACCUGCCCUUGACUCUGGGAUAAGCCUGGGAAACUGGGUCUAAUACUGGAUACUACCUCUUGCCGCAUGGUGGGUGGUGGAAAGGGUUUUACUGGUUUUGGAUGGGCUCACGGCCUAUCAGCUUGUUGGUGGGGUAAUGGCUCACCAAGGCGACGACGGGUAGCCGGCCUGAGAGGGUGACCGGCCACACUGGGACUGAGACACGGCCCACACUCCUACGGGAGGCAGCAGUGGGGAAUAUUGCACAAUGGGCGGAAGCCUGAUGCAGCGACGCCGCGUGAGGGAUGACGGCCUUCGGGUUGUAAACCUCUUUCAGUAGGGAAGAAGCGAGAGUGACGGUACCUGCAGAAGAAGCGCCGGCUAACUACGUGCCAGCAGCCGCGGUAAUACGUAGGGCGCAAGCGUUGUCCGGAAUUAUUGGGCGUAAAGAGCUCGUAUGCGGUUUGUCGCGUCUGCUGUGAGAGCCCGGGGCUCAACCCCGGGUCUGCA